GUUUGAUCCUGGCUCAGGAUGAACGCUGGCGGCGUGCUUAACACAUGCAAGUCGAACGGAGCUGUUUCGCUGACGAGACUUCGGUCAAAUCUUGAAACAACUUAGUGGCGGACGGGUGAGUAACGCGUGGGUAACCUGCCAUAUACAGGGGGAUAACACUUAGAAAUAGGUGCUAAUACCGCAUAAGCGCACAGAGCUGCAUGGCUCAGUGUGAAAAACUCCGGUGGUAUAUGAUGGACCCGCGUCUGAUUAGCUAGUUGGUGAGGUAACGGCCCACCAAGGCGACGAUCAGUAGCCGGCCUGAGAGGGUGAACGGCCACAUUGGGACUGAGACACGGCCCAAACUCCUACGGGAGGCAGCAGUGGGGAAUCUUCCGCAAUGGGCGAAAGCCUGACGGAGCAAUGCCGCGUGAGUGAUGAAGGUUUUCGGACCGUAAAGCUCUUUUGUUUAUGACGAACGUGCAGAUUGUGAACAAUGAUUUGUAAUGACGGUAGUAAACGAAUAAGCCACGGCUAACUACGUGCCAGCAGCCGCGGUAAUACGUAGGUGGCGAGCGUUGUCCGGAAUUAUUGGGCGUAAAGAGCAUGUAGGCGGUCCUUUAAGUCUGGAGUGAAAAUGCGGGGCUCAACCCCGUAUGGCUUUGGAUACUGGGGGACUUGAGUGCAGGAGAGGAAAGGGGAAUUCCCAGUGUAGCGGUGAAAUGCGUAGAUAUUGGGAGGAACACCAGUGGCGAAGGCGCCUUUCUGGACUGUGUCUGACGCUGAGAUGCGAAAGCCAGGGUAGCGAACGGGAUUAGAUACCCCGGUAGUCCUGGCCGUAAACG
This 824-nucleotide ribosomal RNA is filed under the name uncultured bacterium. RNAcentral describes it as "bacterial SSU rRNA". It matches the Rfam family "Bacterial small subunit ribosomal RNA", at positions 11 to 808 of the family's 1533-position model. The record is from RNAcentral.